GACUCUGUAGCUCAGUUGGUAGAGCAGCUGACUCUUAAUCAGCGGGCCGUGUGUUCGAGCCACACCGGGGUCA
RNAcentral lists this transfer RNA (73 nucleotides) under Bacteroidota bacterium. Its description in RNAcentral is "tRNA-Lys". It matches the Rfam family "tRNA". From Rfam's summary of the family: Transfer RNA (tRNA) molecules are approximately 80 nucleotides in length. Their secondary structure includes four short double-helical elements and three loops (D, anti-codon, and T loops). Further hydrogen bonds mediate the characteristic L-shaped molecular structure. tRNAs have two regions of fundamental functional importance: the anti-codon, which is responsible for specific mRNA codon recognition, and the 3' end, to which the tRNAs corresponding amino acid is attached (by aminoacyl-tRNA synthetases). tRNAs cope with the degeneracy of the genetic code in two manners: having more than one tRNA (with a specific anti-codon) for a particular amino acid; and 'wobble' base-pairing, i.e. permitting non-standard base-pairing at the 3rd anti-codon position. The record is from RNAcentral. Lineage: Bacteria; Pseudomonadati; Bacteroidota.